GGUCAAGCGAAUAAGCGCACACGGUGGAUGCCUUGGCGGUCAGAGGCGAUGAAGGACGUGGCAGCCUGCGAAAAGUAUCGGGGAGCUGGCAACAAGCUUUGAUCCGGUAAUGUCCGAAUGGGGAAACCCACCCGCUUGCGGGUAUCCUGCAGUGAAUACAUAGCUGCUGGAAGCGAACCUGGUGAACUGAAAUAUCUAAGUAACCAGAGGAAAAGAAAUCAACCGAGAUUCCGUAAGUAGCGACGAGCGAACGCGGACUAGCCCUUAAGCUGAUUUGGUUCUAGGAAAACGCUCUGGAAAGAGCGGCCAUAGAAGGUGAUAGCCCUGUAUCUGAAAGGGCCAUUUCAGUGAAGACGAGUAGGGCGGGGCACGUGAAACCCUGUCUGAACAUGGGGGGACCAUCCUCCAAGGCUAAAUACUACUGACCGACCGAUAGUGAACCAGUACCGUGAGGGAAAGGCGAAAAGAACCCCGGAGAGGGGAGUGAAAUAGAACCUGAAACCGUGUGCGUACAAGCAGUAGGAGCUCCGCAAGGAGUGACUGCGUACCUUUUGUAUAAUGGGUCAGCGACUUACUGUUCGUGGCAAGCUUAACCGUAUAGGGGAGGCGAAGGGAAACCGAGUCUGAUAAGGGCGCAUAGUCGCGGGCAGUAGACCCGAAACCGGGUGAUCUAGUCAUGCCCAGGGUGAAGGUGCGGUAACACGCACUGGAGGCCCGAACCCACUCCCGUUGCAAAGGUAGGGGAUGAGGUGUGAUUAGGAGUGAAAAGCUAAUCGAACCCGGAGAUAGCUGGUUCUCCUCGAAAGCUAUUUAGGUAGCGCCUCAUAUGUAUCCUCUCGGGGGUAGAGCACUGUUAUGGCUAGGGGGUCAUCGCGACUUACCAAACCAUUGCAAACUCCGAAUACCGAGACGGACUGUAUGGGAGACACACGGCGGGUGCUAACGUCCGUCGUGAAAAGGGAAACAACCCAGACCCACAGCUAAGGUCCCAAAUUCACUGCUAAGUGGAAAACCAUGUGGAAAGGCACAGACAGCCAGGAGGUUGGCUUAGAAGCAGCCACCCUUUAAAGAAAGCGUAAUAGCUCACUGGUCGAGUCGGUCUGCGGGGAAGAUUUAACGGGGCUAAGCAGUGAACCGAAGCUUGGGGUGCAUAACUUUGUUAUGCGCGGUAGAGGAGCGUUCCGUAAGCCGUUGAAGGUGGAUUGAGAAGUCUGCUGGAGGUAUCGGAAGUGCGAAUGCUGACAUGAGUAACGAUAAUGCGGGUGAAAAACCCGCACGCCGAAAGCCCAAGGUUUCCUUGCGCAACGUUAAUCGGCGCAGGGUGAGUCGGCCCCUAAGGCGAGGACGAAAGUCGUAGUCGAUGGGAAGCAGGUUAAUAUUCCUGCACCUCGCGUAAGUGCGAUGGAGGGACGGAGAAGGUUAGGUGUACCAGGCGUUGGUUGUCCUGGGGAAAGGCGGUAGGUUUGGAUCUUUGGCAAAUCCGGGAUCCUCUAAGACCGAGCACCGAGACGAGCCUUUAUGGCAAAGUCACUGAUACCACGCUUCCAGGAAAAGCUCCUAAGCUUCAGCUUACGCAGACCGUACCGUAAACCGACACAGGUGGGUAGGAUGAGAAUUCUCAGGCGCUUGAGAGAACUCGGGUGAAGGAACUAGGCAACAUGGCACCGUAACUUCGGGAGAAGGUGCACCCUUUUUGGUGGCUCGUGCGAGCUAUAGCUGAAGAGGGUCGCAGUAACCAGGCCGCUGCGACUGUUUAUCAAAAACACAGCACUCUGCAAACACGAAAGUGGACGUAUAGGGUGUGACGCCUGCCCGGUGCUGGAAGGUUAAUUGAUGGGGUCAGCCGCAAGGCGAAGCUCUUGAUCGAAGCCCCAGUAAACGGCGGCCGUAACUAUAACGGUCCUAAGGUAGCGAAAUUCCUUGUCGGGUAAGUUCCGACCUGCACGAAUGGCGUAACGACAGCGGCGCUGUCUCCACCCGAGACUCAGUGAAAUUGAAAUCGCUGUGAAGAUGCAGCGUUCCCGUGGCAAGACGGAAAGACCCCGUGAACCUUUACUAUAGCUUUACACUGAACGUUGAGUUCGUCUGUGUAGGAUAGGUGGGAGGCUAUGAAACUGUGGCGCUAGCUGCAGUGGAGCCAUCCUUGAAAUACCACCCUGUCGUGCUUGACGUUCUAACCUGGGCCCAUUAUCUGGGUCGGGGACCGUGUAUGGUGGGUAGUUUGACUGGGGCGGUCUCCUCCUAAAGAGUAACGGAGGAGCUCGAAGGUACGCUCAGCGCGGUCGGACAUCGCGCACUGUGUGCAAAGGCAUAAGCGUGCUUGACUGCAAGAUCGACGGAUCAAGCAGGUAGGAAACUAGGACUUAGUGAUCCGGUGGUUCUGUAUGGAAGGGCCAUCGCUCAACGGAUAAAAGGUACUCCGGGGAUAACAGGCUGAUACCGCCCAAGAGUUCAUAUCGACGGCGGUGUUUGGCACCUCGAUGUCGGCUCAUCACAUCCUGGGGCUGUAGUCGGUCCCAAGGGUAUGGCUGUUCGCCAUUUAAAGUGGUACGCGAGCUGGGUUCAGAACGUCGUGAGACAGUUCGGUCCCUAUCUGCCAUGGGCGUUGGAGAUUUGAGAGGGGCUGCUCCUAGUACGAGAGGACCGGAGUGGACGAACCUCUGGUGUUCCGGUUGUCACGCCAGUGGCAUUGCCGGGUAGCUAUGUUCGGAAGCGAUAACCGCUGAAAGCAUCUAAGCGGGAAGCGCGCCUCAAGAUGAGAUCUCCCGGGGCACAAGCCCCCUGAAGGAACCAUGUAGACUACGUGGUUGAUAGGUCAGGUGUGUAAGUACAGCAAUGUAUUGAGCUAACUGAUACUAAUGAUCCGAGAGGCUUGACCAU
This 2880-nucleotide ribosomal RNA is filed under the name Stenotrophomonas sp. GD03654. RNAcentral's name for it is "23S ribosomal RNA". It matches the Rfam family "Bacterial large subunit ribosomal RNA". Lineage: Bacteria; Pseudomonadati; Pseudomonadota; Gammaproteobacteria; Lysobacterales; Lysobacteraceae. The record is from RNAcentral.